This 1513-nucleotide ribosomal RNA is filed under the name uncultured Bordetella sp. RNAcentral's name for it is "partial 16S-23S ribosomal RNA intergenic spacer". It matches the Rfam family "Bacterial small subunit ribosomal RNA". The record is from RNAcentral. Lineage: Bacteria; Pseudomonadati; Pseudomonadota; Betaproteobacteria; Burkholderiales; Alcaligenaceae.
GGUUUGAUUAUGGCUCUUGUGAUUGAACGCUGGCGGGAUGCUUUACACAUGCAAGUCGAACGGCAGCACGGACUUCGGUCUGGUGGCGAGUGGCGAACGGGUGAGUAAUGUAUCGGAACGUGCCUAGUAGCGGGGGAUAACUACGCGAAAGCGUAGCCAAUACCGCAUACGCCCUUCGGGAGAAAGCGGGGGGACCUUUCGGGCUCCUGCACUAUUAGAGCGGCCGAUAUCGGAUUAGCUAGUUGGUGGGGUAACGGCUCACCAAGGCGACGAUCCGUAGCUGGUUUGAGAGGACAUAUGACCAGCCACACUGGGACUGAGACACGGCCCAGACUCCUACGGAGUGCAGCAGUGGGGAAUUUUGGGACAAUGGGGAAACCCUGAUCCGUUUGCCAUCCUGGGCGAGUGUGCGAUGAAGGCCUUCGGGUUGUAAAGCACUUUUGGCAGGAAAAAGAAACGGCACGGGAUAAUACCCCGCAACUGACGGUACCUGCAGAAUAAGCACCGCUAACUAGCCGUGCCAGCAGCCGCGGUAAUACGUAGGGUGCAAGCGUUAAUCGGAAUUACCGGGCGUAAAAGCGUGCGCAGGCGGUUCGGAAAAAGAAAGAUGUGAAAUCCCAGAGCUUAACUUUGGAACUGCAUUUUUAACUACCGAGCCAGAGUGUGUCAGAGGAGGUGGAAUUCCGCGUGUAGCAGUGAAAUGCGUAGAUAUGGAGGAACACCGAUGGCGAAGGCAGCCUCUGGGAUAACACUGACGCUCAUGCACGAAAGCGUGGGGAGCAAACAUGAUUAGAUACUCUGGUAGUCCACGCCCUAAACGAUGUCAAUCUAGCUGUUAGCCUCGGGCCUGGUAGCGCAGCGCUAACGCAGUGGUUGACCGCCUGUGAGUACGGUCGCAAGAUUAAAACUCAAAGGACUGACGGGGACCCGCACAAGCGGUGGAUGAUGUGGGAUUAAUUCGAUGCAACGCGAAAAACCUUACCUACCCUUGACAUGGUUCAAACCCGGAGAUUUGGGAGUGCUCGCAAGAGAACUGGAACACAGGUGCUGCAUGGCUGUCGUCAGCUCGUGUCGUGAGAUGUUGCGUUAAGUCCCGCAACGAGCGUAACCUCGCCGUCAUUAGUUGCUACGAAAGCGCACUCUAAUGAGACUGCCGGUGACAAACCGGAGGAAGGUGGGAUUACGCACGUCAAGUCCUCAUGGCCCUUAUGGUAGGUCACAUCGUUACACGAUCGGGACAGAGGGGUCGCCAACCCGCGAGGGGGGAGCCAAUCCCAGAAAAACCCGAUCGGCCGUCCGAUCGUAGUCUGCGAAACUCGACUGCGUGAAGUCGGAAUCGCUAGUAAUCAGAUCGGCAAGCAUGUCGCGGUGAAUACGUUCCCGGGUCUUGUACACACUGCCCGUCACACCGCGGUGGAGUGGCCUUUACCGAAGUGGCAGUUGUAGCUUAACCGUAAGGAGGGCGAUUACCACGGCAGGAUUCAUGAUCAGUAAAGCCGUACCUAUGCACCCC